RNAcentral lists this ribosomal RNA (301 nucleotides) under uncultured bacterium. RNAcentral's name for it is "partial 16S ribosomal RNA". It matches the Rfam family "Bacterial small subunit ribosomal RNA", at positions 509 to 807 of the family's 1533-position model. The record is from RNAcentral.
CAGCCGCCACGGUAAUACGUAGGUGGCAGGCGUUGUCCGGAAUUAUUGGGCGCAAAGGGCUCGCAGGCGGUUUCUUAAGUCUGAUGUGAAAGCCCCCGGCUCAACCGGGGAGGGUCAUUGGAAACUGGGAAACUUGAGUGCAGAAGAGGAGAGUGGAAUUCCACGUGUAGCGGUGAAAUGCGUAGAGAUGUGGAGGAACACCAGUGGCGAAGGCGACUCUCUGGUCUGUAACUGACGCUGAGGAGCGAAAGCGUGGGGAGCGAACAGGAUUAGAUACCCGCGUAGUCCCUGUCUCUUAUAC